CAAAGUUUACUUAUAAUAAUAAUAAUAAUAAUAAUAAUAAUCAUCUACAUAUUAACCCAACCUAACCCCACGUCACCCACCCUAUUGCAUUCAAACCCUAAUUUAUUUCUACCUCAUCCCUCUCUCUAUCUCUCUUCUCAGUCCCGUUGGUCUUUUCCGGUGACUUCUCUCUAACGUUGAACCGAUGGUCAAUCAUCGUUGGAGAAAUCGAUAGAAAAUUGCUACUGUUAAAGUCAUCUCUUGUCUCUAGCCAUCCGGCACUGCAAUCGCUGUUAAAAUCAUCCCUCGCCUCUAGCCAUCUGAUGGUCAAUCAUCGUCGUUGCAAUCAUCACUUCAGAUGAUGCUGCUAUAGUCACUACUUCAGAUUGUGGUGUUGGUGUUCGUCUGACGCUGCUUGCCUAAGAAAUUGUGUUUGGAUGUUGUUAUUGACGGUGUUGUGGUGAUGGUAGUGCUGUAGUGGUGUUGGUGUUGGUGUCGUGGUGGUGACGUUGGUGACGGUUGCGGCGAUGGUGAUGGUGAUUUUAUUAGAUUUAUUGAUAUAGGCGACGGUGGCGACUGUAGUACUCGAAGACAGAUUUGGGGAUGUUUUUUAUUUUAUUUUUUUGGUAGGGGAUAUGGAGUGGAGUGGUGGGCUAUUGGCAACGGC
This 646-nucleotide long non-coding RNA is filed under the name Olea europaea subsp. europaea. The record is from RNAcentral. Lineage: Eukaryota; Viridiplantae; Streptophyta; Magnoliopsida; Lamiales; Oleaceae.